AUUGAACGCUGGCGGCAGGCCUAACACAUGCAAGUCGGACGGUAGCACAGAGGAGCUUGCUCCUCGGGUGACGAGUGGCGGACGGGUGAGUAACGUCUGGGAAUCUGCCCGAUAGAGGGGGAUAACCACUGGAAACGGUGGCUAAUACCGCAUAACGUCGAAAGACCAAAGAGGGGGACCUUCGGGCCUAUCACCAGCGGAUGAACCCAGAUGGGAUUAGCCAGUAGGCGGGGUAAUGGCCCACCUAGGCGACGAUCCGUAGCGGGUCUGAGAGGAUGGCCAGCCACACUGGAACUGAGACACGGUCCAGACUCCUACGGGAGGCAGCAGUGGGGAAUAUUGCACAAUGGGCGCAAGCCUGAUGCAGCCAUGCCGCGUGUAUGAAGAAGGCCUUCGGGUUGUAAAGUACUUUCAGCGGGGAGGAAGGCGGUGAGGUUAAUAACCUCGCCGAUUGACGUUACCCGCAGAAGAAGCACCGGCUAACUCCGUGCCAGCAGCCGCGGUAA
Molecule: ribosomal RNA, 506 nt
Filed under: uncultured bacterium
Lineage: Bacteria
Description: partial 16S ribosomal RNA
Rfam family: Bacterial small subunit ribosomal RNA
Source: RNAcentral